This 286-nucleotide ribosomal RNA is filed under the name uncultured bacterium. Its description in RNAcentral is "partial 16S ribosomal RNA". It matches the Rfam family "Bacterial small subunit ribosomal RNA", at positions 773 to 1060 of the family's 1533-position model. The record is from RNAcentral.
UUGGAUUAGAUACCCUAGUAGUCCACACCGUAAACGUUGGGCGCUAGGUGUGGGGUCCAUUCCACGGAUUCCGUGCCGCAGCUAACGCAUUAAGCGCCCCGCCUGGGGAGUACGGCCGCAAGGCUAAAACUCAAAGGAAUUGACGGGGGCCCGCACAAGCGGCGGAGCAUGCGGAUUAAUUCGAUGCAACGCGAAGAACCUUACCUGGGUUUGACAUACACCGGAAACACCUAGAGAUAGGUGCCCUUUUAGUCGGUGUACAGGUGGUGCAUGGCCGUCGACAACU